MicroRNA precursor from Oryza rufipogon (brownbeard rice), 193 nucleotides. It matches the Rfam family "MIR812 microRNA precursor family". The record is from Rfam. NCBI's taxonomy places the organism in Eukaryota, Viridiplantae, Streptophyta, Magnoliopsida, Poales, Poaceae.
CCUAGUUUCCGUGUCCAACGUUUAACCGUCCGUCUUAUUUGAAAAAAAUAUGAAAAAAAUUAAAAAGAUAAGUCAUGCAUAAAGUAUUAAUCACGUUUUAUCAUCUAACAACAAUGAAAAUACUAAUUAUAAAAAAAAUUCAUAUAAGAUGGACAGUCAAACGUUGGCACGAAAAUUUAGGGUUUAACUUUUU